UGCCUUUAAUGGCCCAGGCACUAAGAUUUACACAGUGAGAGGUGAGACUCUUUAAUGUGCUGGGACUUAGCCCAUGAUGAUUUGUUCUGAGCCAUUUGCCACUAAAGUUAAAUCCUUAUAAAUAUAAAUUAUUAGCCAUACAGCUUCCUUUUUCUCCUGCUCAAGCACAAGCCUGGAUAGCGCAAAGGCCUAAAAAUUUUCUAGGGCAUUUAGAGAUAAUGAAAGAUGGCCACUUUGAUGCACAAAGACCUAAAUUUUAGUCCCUCACUGAUUAAUGAUUUGACCUUUGGGUGGGUCUUAAUAUCUGUCCUCUAUUUUAUCAACUGUGAAAUGGCAGAAUUAAAUAAAAGUGGUUUCUAAGUUUCCUUCCAGUUCAGAGAUUUAACACUAUUGUUUGUCCCCAAUACAAGAAAAGUUUAAAUACCAAUCAGUGGUUAUCAAAUAAUUCACCAAGAUCUAGAAUAA
Molecule: long non-coding RNA, 465 nt
Filed under: Homo sapiens (human)
Lineage: Eukaryota; Metazoa; Chordata; Mammalia; Primates; Hominidae
Description: HSALNT0118487
Source: RNAcentral